Molecule: ribosomal RNA, 503 nt
Filed under: uncultured bacterium
Lineage: Bacteria
Description: partial 16S ribosomal RNA
Rfam family: Bacterial small subunit ribosomal RNA
Source: RNAcentral
GUUGAACGCUGGCGGCAGGCUUAACACAUGCAAGUCGAGCGGGGUGAUGGUGCUUGCACUAUCACUUAGCGGCGGACGGGUGAGUAAUGCUUAGGAAUCUGCCUAUUAGUGGGGGACAACAUCUCGAAAGGGAUGCUAAUACCGCAUACGUCCUACGGGAGAAAGCAGGGGAUCACUUGUGACCUUGCGCUAAUAGAUGAGCCUAAGUCGGAUUAGCUAGUUGGUGGGGUAAAGGCCUACCAAGGCGACGAUCUGUAGCGGGUCUGAGAGGAUGAUCCGCCACACUGGGACUGAGACACGGCCCAGACUCCUACGGGAGGCAGCAGUGGGGAAUAUUGGACAAUGGGGGGAACCCUGAUCCAGCCAUGCCGCGUGUGUGAAGAAGGCCUUAUGGUUGUAAAGCACUUUAAGCGAGGAGGAGGCUCCUUUGGUUAAUACCCAAGAUGAGUGGACGUUACUCGCAGAAUAAGCACCGGCUAACUCUGUGCCAGCCGCCGCGGUAA